GGUUGUAAACCUCUUUCAGCAGGGAAGAAGCGCAAGUGACGGUACCUGCAGAAGAAGCACCGGCUAACUACGUGCCAGCAGCCGCGGUAAUACGUAGGGUGCGAGCGUUGUCCGGAAUUAUUGGGCGUAAAGAGCUCGUAGGCGGCCUGUCGCGUCGGAUGUGAAAGCCCGGGGCUUAACCCCGGGUCUGCAUUCGAUACGGGCAGGCUGGAGUGUGGUAGGGGAGAUCGGAAUUCCUGGUGUAGCGGUGAAAUGCGCAGAUAUCAGGAGGAACACCGGUGGCGAAGGCGGAUCUCUGGGCCAUUACUGACGCUGAGGAGCGAAAGCGUGGGGAGCGAACAGGAUUAGAUCCCUGGUAGUCCACGCCGUAAACGUUGGGAACUAGGUGUUGGCGACAUUCCACGUCGUCGGUGCCGCAGCUAACGCAUUAAGUUCCCCGCCUGGGGAGUACGGCCGCAAGGCUAAAACUCAAAGGAAUUGACGG
Molecule: ribosomal RNA, 484 nt
Filed under: Kitasatospora phosalacinea
Lineage: Bacteria; Bacillati; Actinomycetota; Actinomycetes; Kitasatosporales; Streptomycetaceae
Description: bacterial SSU rRNA
Rfam family: Bacterial small subunit ribosomal RNA
Source: RNAcentral